UACUACUUAAUGUUGACAAUAAAGGAUG
Molecule: small RNA, 28 nt
Filed under: Bombyx mori (domestic silkworm)
Lineage: Eukaryota; Metazoa; Arthropoda; Insecta; Lepidoptera; Bombycidae
Description: ovarian small RNA-21278
Source: RNAcentral